RNAcentral lists this ribosomal RNA (670 nucleotides) under Microbacterium oxydans. Its description in RNAcentral is "bacterial SSU rRNA". It matches the Rfam family "Bacterial small subunit ribosomal RNA", at positions 72 to 755 of the family's 1533-position model. Lineage: Bacteria; Bacillati; Actinomycetota; Actinomycetes; Micrococcales; Microbacteriaceae. The record is from RNAcentral.
CACGGAGCUUGCUCUGUGGGAUCAGUGGCGAACGGGUGAGUAACACGUGAGCAACCUGCCCCUGACUCUGGGAUAAGCGCUGGAAACGGCGUCUAAUACUGGAUAUGUGACGUGACCGCAUGGUCUGCGUCUGGAAAGAAUUUCGGUUGGGGAUGGGCUCGCGGCCUAUCAGCUUGUUGGUGAGGUAAUGGCUCACCAAGGCGUCGACGGGUAGCCGGCCUGAGAGGGUGACCGGCCACACUGGGACUGAGACACGGCCCAGACUCCUACGGGAGGCAGCAGUGGGGAAUAUUGCACAAUGGGCGCAAGCCUGAUGCAGCAACGCCGCGUGAGGGAUGACGGCCUUCGGGUUGUAAACCUCUUUUAGCAGGGAAGAAGCGAAAGUGACGGUACCUGCAGAAAAAGCGCCGGCUAACUACGUGCCAGCAGCCGCGGUAAUACGUAGGGCGCAAGCGUUAUCCGGAAUUAUUGGGCGUAAAGAGCUCGUAGGCGGUUUGUCGCGUCUGCUGUGAAAUCCGGAGGCUCAACCUCCGGCCUGCAGUGGGUACGGGCAGACUAGAGUGCGGUAGGGGAGAUUGGAAUUCCUGGUGUAGCGGUGGAAUGCGCAGAUAUCAGGAGGAACACCGAUGGCGAAGGCAGAUCUCUGGGCCGUAACUGACGCUGAGGAGCG